AUACAGAGGGUGCAAGCGUUAAUCGGAUUUACUGGGCGUAAAGCGCGCGUAGGUGGCUAAUUAAGUCAAAUGUGAAAUCCCCGAGCUUAACUUGGGAAUUGCAUUCGAUACUGGUUAGCUAGAGUAUGGGAGAGGAUGGUAGAAUUCCAGGUGUAGCGGUGAAAUGCGUAGAGAUCUGGAGGAAUACCGAGGGCGAAGGCAGCCAUCUGGCCUAAUACUGACACUGAGGUGCGAAAGCAUGGGGAGCAAACAGGAUUAGAUACCCGGGUAGUCCAUGCCGUAAACGAUGUCUACUAGCCGUUGGGGCCCUUGAGGCUUUAGUGGCGCAGCUAACGCGAUAAGUAGACCGCCUGGGGAGUACGGUCGCAAGACUAAAACUCAAAUGAAUUGACGGGG
Molecule: ribosomal RNA, 396 nt
Filed under: uncultured bacterium
Lineage: Bacteria
Description: partial 16S ribosomal RNA
Rfam family: Bacterial small subunit ribosomal RNA
Source: RNAcentral